GAUGAACGCUGGCGAGAUGCUUUACACAUGCAAGUCAUACGAGAGUUUUUAACUCAAGUGGCGGACGGGUGAGUAACACGUAAGAAUUUACCUUUAGGAGGGGGAUAACAACGAGAAGUUGCUGCUAAUACCCCAUAUGCUUUCGAGUGAAAUGGAUUUUUCCGCCUAAAGAGAAGCUUGCGUCUGAUUAGCUUGUUGGUAAGGUAAUGGCUUACCAAGGCGACGAUCAGUAUCUGGUUUGAGAGGAUGAUCAGACACACUGGAACUGAGACACGGUCCAGACUCCUACGGGAGGCAGCAGUGGGGAAUUUUCCGCAAUGGGCGAAAGCCUGACGGAGCAAUCUCGCGUGAGGGAUGACGGCCUAUGGGUUGUAAACCUCUUCUUUCAGGGAGGAAUCAAAUGACGUGUACCUGGAGAAUAAGCAUCGGCUAACUCCGUGCCAGCAGCCGCGGUAAG
This 457-nucleotide ribosomal RNA is filed under the name uncultured bacterium. Its description in RNAcentral is "bacterial SSU rRNA". It matches the Rfam family "Bacterial small subunit ribosomal RNA", at positions 28 to 524 of the family's 1533-position model. The record is from RNAcentral.